Molecule: ribosomal RNA, 864 nt
Filed under: uncultured Niastella sp.
Lineage: Bacteria; Pseudomonadati; Bacteroidota; Chitinophagia; Chitinophagales; Chitinophagaceae
Description: bacterial SSU rRNA
Rfam family: Bacterial small subunit ribosomal RNA
Source: RNAcentral
UGCAAGUCGAGGGGCAGCACGGGUAGCAAUACUGGGUGGCGACCGGCAAACGGGUGCGGAACACGUACACAACCUUCCUUUGAGCGGGGGAUAGCCCAGAGAAAUUUGGAUUAAUACCCCAUAGUAUAUAAAAAAGGCAUCUUUUUAAUAUUAAAGAUUUAUCACUUGAAGAUGGGUGUGCGUCUGAUUAGGUAGUUGGCGGGGUAACGGCCCACCAAGCCAUCGAUCAGUAACUGGUGUGAGAGCACGACCAGUCACACGGGCACUGAGACACGGGCCCGACUCCUACGGGAGGCAGCAGUAAGGAAUAUUGGUCAAUGGACGCAAGUCUGAACCAGCCAUGCCGCGUGGAGGAUGAAGGUCCUCUGGAUUGUAAACUUCUUUUAUUUGGGAAGAAAUGCAUCUUUUCUAAGGUGUUUGACGGUACCAGAUGAAUAAGCACCGGCUAACUCCGUGCCAGCAGCCGCGGUAAUACGGAGGGUGCAAGCGUUAUCCGGAUUCACUGGGUUUAAAGGGUGCGUAGGUGGGCUGUUAAGUCAGUGGUGAAAUCUCCGGGCUCAACCCGGAAACUGCCAUUGAUACUAUCAGUCUUGAAUAUCGUGGAGGUAAGCGGAAUAUGUCAUGUAGCGGUGAAAUGCUUAGAUAUGACAUAGAACACCAAUUGCGAAGGCAGCUUGCUACCCGAAUAUUGACACUGAGGCACGAAAGCGUGGGGAUCAAACAGGAUUAGAUACCCUGGUAGUCCACGCCCUAAACGAUGGAUACUCGACAUACGCGAUACACAGUGUGUGUCUGAGCGAAAGCAUUAAGUAUCCCACCCUGGGAAGUACGACCGCAGGUUGAAACUCAAAGGAAUUGACGGGG